AACGAACGCUGGCGGCAUGCCUAACACAUGCAAGUCGAACGAGACCUUCGGGGUCUAGUGGCGCACGGGUGCGUAACGCGUGGGAAUCUGCCCUUCGGUUCGGAACAACAGUUAGAAAUGACUGCUAAUACCGGAUAAUGACGUAAGUCCAAAGAUUUAUCGCCGAAGGAUGAGCCCGCGUAAGAUUAGGUAGUUGGUGGGGUAAUGGCCUACCAAGCCGACGAUCUUUAGCUGGUCUGAGAGGAUGAUCAGCCACACUGGGACUGAGACACGGCCCAGACUCCUACGGAGGCAGCAGUGGGGAAUAUUGGACAAUGGGCGAAAGCCUGAUCCAGCAAUGCCGCGUGAGUGAUGAAGGCCUUAGGGUUGUAAAGCUCUUUUACCAGGGAUGAUAAUGACAGUACCUGGAGAAUAAAGCUCCGGCUAACUCCGUG
This 434-nucleotide ribosomal RNA is filed under the name uncultured bacterium. Its description in RNAcentral is "bacterial SSU rRNA". It matches the Rfam family "Bacterial small subunit ribosomal RNA", at positions 29 to 507 of the family's 1533-position model. The record is from RNAcentral.